GGUGGCUCAGUGGUAGAUUGCUUGCCUUGCAUGCAUGAGACCCUGGGUUCGAUUCUUAGCACCA
Molecule: transfer RNA, 64 nt
Filed under: Dipodomys ordii (Ord's kangaroo rat)
Lineage: Eukaryota; Metazoa; Chordata; Mammalia; Rodentia; Heteromyidae
Rfam family: tRNA
About the family: Transfer RNA (tRNA) molecules are approximately 80 nucleotides in length.
Source: Rfam by way of RNAcentral